RNAcentral lists this ribosomal RNA (506 nucleotides) under uncultured bacterium. RNAcentral's name for it is "partial 16S ribosomal RNA". It matches the Rfam family "Bacterial small subunit ribosomal RNA", at positions 29 to 523 of the family's 1533-position model. The record is from RNAcentral.
AGUGAACGCUGGCGGUAGGCCUAACACAUGCAAGUCGAACGGCAGCACAGAGGAGCUUGCUCCUUGGGUGGCGAGUGGCGGACGGGUGAGGAAUACAUCGGAAUCUACUUUUUCGUGGGGGAUAACGUAGGGAAACUUACGCUAAUACCGCAUACGACCUACGAGUGAAAGCAGGGGAUCUUCGGACCUUGCGCGAUUGAAUGAGCCGAUGUCGGAUUAGCUAGUUGGCGGGGUAAAGGCCCACCAAGGCGACGAUCCGUAGCUGGUCUGAGAGGAUGAUCAGCCACACUGGAACUGAGACACGGUCCAGACUCCUACGGGAGGCAGCAGUGGGGAAUAUUGGACAAUGGGCGCAAGCCUGAUCCAGCCAUACCGCGUGGGUGAAGAAGGCCUUCGGGUUGUAAAGCCCUUUUGUUGGGAAAGAAAUCCAGCCGGCUAAUACCUGGUUGGGAUGACGGUACCCAAAGAAUAAGCACCGGCUAACUUCGUGCCAGCAGCCGCCGUAA